UCCUGUAACCCUAGCGGGCGCUAGGGUUGAGGGAUUGGCCUGCACGAAAGGAGAUUAUGCACGCUUACGUUCGUCCUUAAAGCUCAUCGGUGAUGGUAUCCUAUCACUUCGUGAAAAUGAAGUGGUAUGCCUUCAUGCUGCACCUGGAAAGGACUAGGCCGGCAACGGAGCACUCCAUCAGGUCGCCGUUGAGGGUUUAUGGAUCGCGAACAA
Molecule: non-coding RNA, 213 nt
Filed under: Rhizochromulina marina
Lineage: Eukaryota; Dictyochophyceae; Rhizochromulinales
Source: RNAcentral